Molecule: long non-coding RNA, 656 nt
Organism: Rhododendron vialii
Lineage: Eukaryota; Viridiplantae; Streptophyta; Magnoliopsida; Ericales; Ericaceae
Exons: 4
Source: RefSeq, a predicted model, not a curated record
UUGCUCUGAUAAUUAUACGUUUUGUCGGGAAUCAAGUCCUUGCAUUGAAGCCUGAAGCCCUCCAAACCGGGAUCAGUGCUAGUGAUGCUGCUAUUAUGCUGGGGAUUGCUCCAGCUAUGGCUAAGGAGCAUCUGCUAACUGCUGAGAGCAAGAGUCUCCUGUGCAGAGAUGUAAGCCUGAUGGCUUUCGGUUUUAUGUCAAUCUGUUUCAAGACAUCGAUCUAGAUGACGUAUACCUAGUCAACGAUCACAGUGCUUACGGAUCAUGGGUCAGUACUGUGUGCUUCUAGUUUAACGUCAAUGAAGCGCUUGAGGUCUCGGCCUUGAAACCGAGAACUUGGCAGUCGCGAAGGAUUUGAGAAGAAGUUUGCCAUUCAAAGUGUUGGUGGUGUUGUCCUUCACAUGUAGUUGCAUGGAUUUGGAGAUAAUGGCGGAUUAGGCAAGCGAAAGGGAGCUGGAGGUUAUACGUGUAUUUAUGCUUUUGUAUCUUGUAGCGUAGAGGAGACUUAUGGAAUCAAAAUAAGGGAAAGAAGCAGAAAGUAAUUUUUUUUUUAAUCAGGUUCUUAUUUCCCCGAGGUUUUUGUUAAAUGUAACCAGAUAAAGAAUCAUUUGUCUUGACUUCAAGUGGUGGAGCCUGUGUCGACCAAAAGAAAGAAA